AGAGUUUGAUCCUAGCUCAGGAUGAACGCUGGCGGCGUGCCUAACACAUGCAAGUCGAACGAAGCAUUUCAGAUGAAGUCUUCGGAUGGAUUCUGAGAUGACUGAGUGGCGGACGGGUGAGUAACACGUGGAUAACCUGCCUCACACUGGGGGACAACAGUUAGAAAUGACUGCUAAUACCGCAUAAGCGCACAGUACCGCAUGGUACAGUGUGAAAAACUCCGGUGGUGUGAGAUGGAUCCGCGUCUGAUUAGCCAGUUGGCGGGGUAACGGCCCACCAAAGCGACGAUCAGUAGCCGACCUGAGAGGGUGACCGGCCACAUUGGGACUGAGACACGGCCCAAACUCCUACGGGAGGCAGCAGUGGGGAAUAUUGCACAAUGGGCGAAAGCCUGAUGCAGCGACGCCGCGUGAGUGAAGAAGUAUUUCGGUAUGUAAAGCUCUAUCAGCAGGGAAGAUAAUGACGGUACCUGACUAAGAAGCCCCGGCUAACUACGUGCCAGCAGCCGCGGUAAUACGUAGGGGGCAAGCGUUAUCCGGAUUUACUGGGUGUAAAGGGAGCGUAGACGGCAUGGCAAGUCUGAAGUGAAAACCCAGGGCUCAACCCUGGGACUGCUUUGGAAACUGUCAAGCUAGAGUGCAGGAGAGGUAAGUGGAAUUCCUAGUGUAGCGGUGAAAUGCGUAGAUAUUAGGAGGAACACCAGUGGCGAAGGCGGCUUACUGGACUGUAACUGACGUUGAGGCUCGAAAGCGUGGGGAGCAAACAGGAUUAGAUACCCUGGUAGUCCACGCCGUAAACGAUGCGUGAAAGGUGUUGGGGGGCAAAGCCUUUCGGUGCCGUUGGCAAACGCAAAUAAGCACUCCACCUGGGGGAGUUCGUUUCGCAAGAAUGAAACUCAAAAGGAAUUGACGGGGACCCGCACAAGCGGUGGAGCAUGUGGUUUAAUUCGAAGCAACGCGAAGAACCUUACCAAGUCUUGACAUCCUCUUGACCGGCGUGUAACGGCGCCUUUCCUUCGGGACAAGAGAGACAGGUGGGGCAUGGUUGUCGUCAGCUCGUGUCGUGAGAUGUUGGGUUAAGUCCCGCAACGAGCGCAACCCUUAUCCUUAGUAGCCAGCAUUAAGAUGGGCACUCUAGGGAGACUGCCAGGGACAACCUGGAGGAAGGUGGGGAUGACGUCAAAUCAUCAUGCCCCUUAUGAUUUGGGCUACACACGUGCUACAAUGGCGUAAACAAAGGGAAGCGACCCUGCGAAGGUGAGCAAAUCUCAAAAAUAACGUCCCAGUUCGGACUGUAGUCUGCAACCCGACUACACGAAGCUGGAAUCGCUAGUAAUCGCGAAUCAGAAUGUCGCGGUGAAUACGUUCCCGGGUCUUGUACACACCGCCCGUCA
RNAcentral lists this ribosomal RNA (1394 nucleotides) under uncultured bacterium. RNAcentral describes it as "bacterial SSU rRNA". It matches the Rfam family "Bacterial small subunit ribosomal RNA". The record is from RNAcentral.